This is a long non-coding RNA of Dunckerocampus dactyliophorus (ringed pipefish), 5804 nucleotides long. RefSeq lists it as uncharacterized. The record is from RefSeq and is a predicted model, not a curated record. Lineage: Eukaryota; Metazoa; Chordata; Actinopteri; Syngnathiformes; Syngnathidae. The transcript has 5 exons.
CUGCCAACUGCAACCGAAAUGCCAUUAUGGAAUAAAUGAAGGACGAGGAGGAGGAAAAUACGGCGACAGGGGCAAUAUGUUUUAACGAGGAUACAAAAACCACUACAGUCAAACGCCGACAGGACGAGGCACGGUCAGAAGAGUGAAAUACGCAGGCGUCGCUUAAUAAUUUCUUGUGGUCCAACGUAGUAGAUUGAGCAUUAAAAUUCAAAUGAAAUUUGAACUUUGAGAGCGUUUAAACGGGAGAUAUGCGAGAAAAUGGUAUUGCCUGUCUGAGAAACGUGUAUAAAGUGUAUGGUGAGGGGGUUUUAAAGCCUUAAAACAUAUAUACAGUACGUAUGUGUAUGUAAUAGUAAAAAAUGAUUAGUUGGCUACUUCGCGGAUUUCACUCAUUGCGGGCUAUUUUGGGAUAAACAGGGGACACUGCAUAUAAUCAGAGAUCGGUAUGUUUCACCUGGUGACACCUAGUGACCAGUGUAGAGUACUGCAUAUUGAAUGCGUCUUCUUAAUGCCUCAUGUUUUUUAGUUCAUUUAGCCAUUUUUUUUUUUGCUUGAAAAUGCUUCUUUUAGGCAAAAGAAUACGUAAAAUUUGCUUAAAUAUACAUACUGUUUUAUUUUACUAAUGGGCCACAAUUAACCACAAAACAGCAUGAUUUAUUAAUUAAUCUAUUUCUGAAAAACCAUAAUAGUGAUACCGCGAAAUUCGACCCACGAUGAGGCGAGGGAUGACGGUAUAUCAGAAAACCUUUUUACUUCUAGAACUUUUUCAACAUUUUUAACUAAUAGCACUAUAACACAAAUAUCCUUCUGAUUGGCUGGCAGAAAUCAAAUGGUUUUGCUCAUACAGGCGACCAGUCUUUGUUUUUGGAUGACAAAUUCCAAAAUGUAAGUUUGAAAAAUGUAGACAAUGUUUGCAUCGUCCCCUUUUUAGGCGCACUGGUUGUCAUCAGUGUCUAAUGAGUCCCGGCUAAACUCAUGUUGCCUGUUGAGUAACAAGCAUAAGGAUGUUGAAGUAUAUUUUAAGACAUUUAGUAUCCUAAAAAGAAGAGCUGCUUGCAGUUAUUGAUUGACGCUGUCUCACUGGUGACUGCCUGAUAGUGACUAAACCAAAGCUGAUGUAAGAAAGGAAUUACUGUGGAUGUCAAGGUCUGUGAAAGCAGCAGCUCACCUUCUUUCUGGCAAACAGCAGGUCUUGGUAGACGUUGGAUCGCAAAAAGCGUGCAUAGCUGUCACUUUUCAUCAGCGUGAAGAUGUGCUCCUGAAAUAGAAGGACAAUGCAGUUGAAGGAUGCUCUGAAGGACGUCACACUUCACCAACGUACUGUGAAGCAAACCCCUCCGUGGAGGACGGGCCCCGUCUACCAUUCAUGAAUUUAGUCGCCUCAUUAGGCCCCGGCAACACAGCCACUGAAUGAAUGAUGUGGCCGCUUCAUUCUGCUUCCACCGAAACCAGAUUGCAUCAAACAUUUGCAAAAGCAUCACAGCAAGGACUAUGCAAAGUUUAACAGUCAUCUAGUGGAUCGGGGCAGGGGUGUGUCGUACAUUAUAGCGAUCUAAUUAUCUUAUUUAUUAUGUAUUAUUAAAAGCACAAAAUGAAUGCCGACCCACCAUCCACCAGUUCAAGUUCCAGGCAAGUUUUUCCAGAAAGAUGAUUACAUCGCUGUUUGACGUGUGUGGUAAAGACAGUGCGCUAGCAUGAAUUAACUUGAGACAAAUGUGCACAUUAGCACUCAAUAAGUCAUCAAAACUUACCUUUAUGCAUUCCCACAUAGUAUCAGCAUUUGACACCAAAUAUGAGGUGAAAGAAAAAUGGUAAAAAUUCAGUAGUAUGAGAUGAGAGUAGCAUGAGAUAAAGUUAGCUCACGCACAAUGGACAUGCGUCAAGUGAGACAGAUGUAACAAAGAGAAUCUGGCCACUUUUCAAAAUAAAACAAAAAAAAAUUUAAAAAUGGAAAUAAUUUUUUCUUUCUGUGCGGCCCGGUACCAAAUGACCCACGGCCCGGGGUUGGGGACCACUGAUGUAAAACACAAACACCAACUGAUUGUAAUGGAAUCAAUAUGGAAACGAUAAAACACAAACACCAACUGAUUGUAAUGGAAUCAACCAGAUCGCAGAACCGCUGACGUAGAUCAGUAACUUAUCAUUUCAGACCAGUCAAUUUCCAAACAAAAUUAAAACAGCUAAAGUAGUUCCCAUUUUCAAAAAAUGGAGGCAAACAUCGAUUUACAAAUGAUGGCCCAGUUUCGUUAUUACCACAAUUUUCCAAAAUCACUGAAAAGUUAUUCAACAACAGUUUGGACAAAUGUAUUGAUAAGAUUGAAUUACUUGCGGACAGCCAAUAUGGAUACGCAGCUAACAUUUCAACUUCCGUGGUACUGAUUGACAUUACCGAGGAAAUUACCACCGCUUUAGACCACGGAAAGUGCACGGCUGCAGUAUUUAUGGGUUUGACAAAAGCUUUUGAUACAAUUAAUCACAACAUCCUAAUUACAAAAUUAGAAAGGUAUGGAAUAAGAGGGUUAGUGUUGAAUUGGGUUCAAAGCUACAGUAUGUAGCCAACAGGAAGCAAUAUGUCAAGCUAGGAGAAUAUACUUCAGCUUGCUUAAAUAUAUCGUAUACCCCAGGGGUCAAUACUGGGACCAAAACUGUUCAACCUACUGUAUAUAUAAAGCCAUGAAAGACCUAAAUCUAGUAUUAUUUGCAGACGAUACUACUGUCUUCUGUUCUGGAGAAAGUACACACAAGCUAAUGAAAAUGAAAUGACUAUACUAAAAAGAUUUUGCUAAAAGGUUUGAUGAAAACAGAUUAUCCCUGAAACUAAGUAAAGCUAAGAUAAUGCUAUGCUAAUGGUAAUAGCAGAAAGGAUACAUGCAAAUACAAAUUGAUGGAGUGGACAUCGAGAGGGUAAACAAAAACACAUUUCUGGGGGUCGAUGACAAGAUGAGCUGGAAAUCUGGAUUAAAUGUGGAAAUUUGGCCUAUGCCAGUACUCACCCAUUAUCCAGCUAUGUUCUUUUCUAUUUCAUUUGUCAACGCUAUGUCUAAUCACCACCACACUUAUUACUUACUCUUCUUUUUUUACGACUUCAUUGUCAUUUCUCACCUAUUAUCAAACUAUGUUGUGUUAUGUCUAUUUCAUAUUAUUUAUUAGGACUGUCAAAUGAAGUUCUUAUCCCUCAUGAAACAUACAGCAAACACUUUUGACAGGAAGUGGCACACAAACCAAAGCAAUCUUCUUUAUGAUCAGUUUUUGUUGUGCUGUACUUGUUUGCUUGCUACUGCACAUGUCAAACAUCAACAUUCUGUGGGUCCCUCACCUGAGCGUCCUCAAAGCUGUAGCGUCCAGGGUCCUUCAGGUUGUGGCUGGUGCGUUCGUAGCUGUGAGAGUCCAGGUUGAUGGAGCUGGGUGCUCCUUCGGCCAGGAACUCUUGCCAGAUCUCCUGGGUCCUGGAGGGAACCUCCUGCAGUGGCCGUCGCUUCAGAUCCUGCACUGCUAACCAAAACCUAAAAAAGCAACAUUACACAUUCACGUUGUCAGUAUGUAAUAUAGCUUUAAUAUUUGUAUUCAUUUUAAUCGUUUAAUGUUUUGGGGUGUAAAACAUAUACUCAAUUUUGUAUAGGAGUAAAGUGAGUCAGUGCUCCAGCUAAGACAGAAGAUGGUGCUAGCUACGUCGAUCGCGAGCUACCGGUAGAUCGCGUAAAUGUCACUUUGUAGUUGUCAUAUGACAUCAGUCAGCUGACAUUAAGCUCCCCUCCUGAUUCGCGCUUGCUCCCCCGCAGCGCUUCAAGCUACACACGAAGAUGUAACUUUCAUCUUUAUUAUUGUGAUUAUGGAUGAACUAACUCAGCGGUUCUCUGAGCUGAACUCUGACUCCAAGAAUCUCAGGAACUGGUCUUGUCCUGCCGGGUCUUUCAGAGUUUCCUCUAAAGAGAAGCCCCACUUCUUUACGCGCUGUUGGCUGGGAUCCCGACUGCUCCAUCGAGAGCCAAAGAAGGUUCGAUGUGUCAGAAUAUGAAGAACCUUUAGGGAUACGCCAGGUGCCAUUCUCCUUCCUCACCUUGCCUCAAGGUCCCAGAAGGAGGAGUCGUCACUGACCCAAGGGUUGGAGGGGUCAAUGGCCGACAUAAAGGGGUCAUAGUCCAUGAACUGCUCCGUGUAGCUCAUCAGGCUGUCUGCUACUUUGGAAACCUUCAUGCAGUGUCGGUCCAGCUGGAUGUUGAGGAAGGUGAUCUGAUGGAAAAGGAGAUUCGGUGGUAAUGACUCAUGGGACACCAUCUAUUACCUCCUUCUGAACGUCCUCUUUGGUGGGCUUCCUGGCAGGCUGAGAGCUGAUGUGGACGGGACUGGGUUGGCUGUGGCUGUCAUCUGGAAGCCCAUAAACUGACUGGAGAAGGCCCAUGAAUGCAUCCUGGCUGAGUUCUGGCUGGUGAUUGGAUGAGCAGAGGAAAGGGAGGGGGCGCCGAUGUUUGCCUGCCUGCAUUCGGUGAGACAUCAGAGAAACGUCUUUUUCACCCUGUGUUCGUGACGCCAUCUGCUCCUCACAGAAGACUUCCCACAUUUUACACCAUCUGUGCUCACAGGUGAUCACCUCAGGUUCUUUUGACCUUUCAACAUGCAUGGAUUUCCUGCCAUGGGUGCCGGUGUAAGGGUAGGACGUGUUGCAACCCACUGCGGUUCAACUGUUUGUACAUUUUACACAUUUUACACAACACCGUCAUUUUCACUGUCUACAUGACAAUGCAGCUCGGCCUAAAAAUGCAAAAACCAAAACGUUUGUUGAAACGUAAACAGUUGUAAACUUUGUGUUUGCGCCUCCAAUAAAGUGUACACCGUUCAGUUUAAUACCAGGCUGAGCUUUCAUCCAAAUAUUAUUUUCUCUCCAAAAAUAUAUAUUUUUUUGUCAGAAAACACAUCUCAUUCACCCUAAGUGGGUAAUUGUUUAUCAAUACAUGAUAAUACAGGCAAAAUGCACAGCAUACACGUACCACUGUUAAAAAAGACCAUCAUUUUUACAUUUAUGCUUUAAUGCUUUACUGAUAGUUUGUUGCGUGCUCGAGUGUUGAGAUUUCGCACUUUGGUCAGUGGUCCUUGAACGCACCAUAGUUGCUGUCAGACAGACAUUAGAAAAUAGACAUUUGUAUCAAGGGUGUCCCGAUACCGAUAUUGAUCCGAUAUCAACACCAAUCAUACAUACUUUUAUGAUUUAUUUUAGAGUGUGGAAUGUUAGAACAACAAUAGGCAGCAACGGUAGGUAUGAGAAAAACUCACCCACUUACUUCUUUAUGCAUGUGGGGUAUAGUUUUAUCCACAAUGUAGUGGCAGCUAGGCAUAAGACAGCAAGGUUCAAGCUGCUCAAUGAAGCGUUUAAACCCGACAUUACUCUCUACCGACAAACUCGCUCUUUUGUGUUAUAGCUAAUGACUUUUUGCCGUCCCGUGUGCGUAUCCUGUGUGACGCCGCUUCAUAUGCGCGAUGAGGUUGGUUGUAUUAAACUUCGCCUGUGCUACCACGGGAAACUUGUGCAUGACAAGUUUUGCACCUAGCUGCAACAUCUUUUUACUGCCACACGGCUGACAUCACUCCUGCUCCUUGCUAUUUUUUUAGCAUGCUCGAAAACACUGUUGUUGUGAUCACAUGGGCUCUAUCCGGUUGCUGCUGGAUAGACGUGCCGGGGCGGAGUCUGGAAUCGAUUGCUUGUAUCGGAGUGGCAAUAUCGGAGAUUUGAGAUACAGUCCAAUAAAAUCUGGUUUCUUGCCGAUAAAAGCCGGAUAUCCGAUAUCAAUAUGGGAUCGGGACAUCACUAA